Molecule: transfer RNA, 85 nt
Filed under: Felis catus (domestic cat)
Lineage: Eukaryota; Metazoa; Chordata; Mammalia; Carnivora; Felidae
Rfam family: tRNA
About the family: Transfer RNA (tRNA) molecules are approximately 80 nucleotides in length. Their secondary structure includes four short double-helical elements and three loops (D, anti-codon, and T loops).
Source: Rfam by way of RNAcentral
ACCUGGGUGGCUCAGUUGUUUAAGUGUCUGACUUCGGCUCAGGUCACGAUCUUGCGGUUCGUGGGUUUGAGCCCCACCUUGGGCU